This 547-nucleotide ribosomal RNA is filed under the name uncultured bacterium. RNAcentral's name for it is "bacterial SSU rRNA". It matches the Rfam family "Bacterial small subunit ribosomal RNA", at positions 355 to 895 of the family's 1533-position model. The record is from RNAcentral.
UAGGGAAUCUUCCGCAAUGGGCGAAAGCCUGACGGAGCAACGCCGCGUGAGUGAAGAAGGAUUUCGGUUCGUAAAGCUCUGUUGUUAGGGAAGAAUGGAUAUGUAGUAACUAUACAUAUAAGAGACGGUACCUAACCAGAAAGCCACGGCUAACUACGUGCCAGCAGCCGCGGUAAUACGUAGGUGGCAAGCGUUGUCCGGAAUUAUUGGGCGUAAAGCGCGCGCAGGUGGUUUAAUAAGUCUGAUGUGAAAGCCCACGGCUCAACCGUGGAGGGUCAUUGGAAACUGUUAAACUUGAGUGCAGGAGAGAAAAGUGGAAUUCCUAGUGUAGCGGUGAAAUGCGUAGAGAUUAGGAGGAACACCAGUGGCGAAGGCGGCUUUUUGGCCUGUAACUGACACUGAGGCGCGAAAGCGUGGGGAGCAAACAGGAUUAGAUACCCUGGUAGUCCACGCCGUAAACGAUGAGUGCUAAGUGUUGGUCUCAUAAGAGAUCAGUGCUGCAGCUAACGCAUUAAGCACUCCGCCUGGGGAGUACGACCGCAAGAUU